GACGAACGCUGGCGGCGUGCUUAACACAUGCAAGUCGAACGGAAAGGCCCUGCUUUUGUGGGGUGCUCGAGUGGCGAACGGGUGAGUAACACGUGAGUAACCUGCCCUUGACUUUGGGAUAACUUCAGGAAACUGGGGCUAAUACCGGAUAGGAGCUCCUGCUGCAUGGUGGGGGUUGGAAAGUUUCGGCGGUUGGGGAUGGACUCGCGGCUUAUCAGCUUGUUGGUGGGGUAGUGGCUUACCAAGGCUUUGACGGGUAGCCGGCCUGAGAGGGUGGACGGCCACAUUGGGACUGAGAGACGGCCCAGACUCCAACGGGAGGCAGCAGUGGGGAAUAUUGCACAAUGGGCGGAAGCCUGAUGAAGCAACGCCGCGUGCGGGAUGACGGCCUUCGGGUUGUAAACCGCUUUCGCCUGUGACGAAGCGUGAGUGACGGUAAUGGGUAAAGAAGCACCGGCUAACUACGUG
RNAcentral lists this ribosomal RNA (468 nucleotides) under uncultured bacterium. RNAcentral's name for it is "partial 16S ribosomal RNA". It matches the Rfam family "Bacterial small subunit ribosomal RNA", at positions 28 to 507 of the family's 1533-position model. The record is from RNAcentral.